Molecule: ribosomal RNA, 326 nt
Filed under: Sydowia polyspora
Lineage: Eukaryota; Fungi; Ascomycota; Dothideomycetes; Dothideales; Dothioraceae
Description: eukaryotic LSU rRNA
Rfam family: Eukaryotic large subunit ribosomal RNA
Source: RNAcentral
AGACCGAUAGCGAACAAGUAGAGUGAUCGAAAGAUGAAAAGUACUUUGGAAAGAGAGUUAAAAAGCACGUGAAAUUGUUGAAAGGGAAGCGCUUGCAAUCAGACUUGGCCUCGGUUGUUCAACCGGUCUUUUGACCGGCCUAUUCAAUCGGGGGCAGGCCAGCAUCAGUUUCGGCGGCCGGAUAAAGGCCUUGGGAAUGUGGCCUCUCCUUCGGGGGAGGUGUUAUAGCCCAGGGUGUAAUACGGUCAGCUGGGACUGAGGUCCGCGCUUCGGCUAGGAUGCUGGCGUAAUGGUUGUAAGCGGCCCGUCUUGAAACACGGACCAAG